AACAAUUGUCGCAUGUCUUCUGACAGGACUACCGUCAUGUCGUUAGUACUUCAGGUGCAAUAAAUAUCUGUAUGGAUCCGCAUUCCCUGACCGUGCUCGUGAACCUUAUUUUGCAAUUCCUGAAAUUGAAAUAAGGUCACCGUUUAAUAGAAUUCAAGAGAAAAGAAAACAAAUGACAUGUUUAUGUUCAUCAACGCCAUUUGUUCAUUAGGGAUAUGUUGUUUACACAAAAUUGUUUUAAAUCUUAUCUCCUGGGAUUUGCUCAAUGGCCGAGGGCAAAUCGCAGCUGCAGCACGUUGUCUCGUUAUUAUCACCCAGUAAGGCCUGAAAGGACAAAUAUGCUACCUGCCUUUGUAUAUAUCGACAGGUUUUAACGUAGCAUCAACGAAUACAGUGAGAAAUGGCAGCUGCAGCGUGUGCCUCGUUGGAGGAAACAGAGAGCUUCAUAACAUGUAGUAUUUGCUUGUGUGAAUUUGAUGCAGAAUUCAGGAAGCCCAAAUUUUUGCCUUGUGCUCACACUGUUUGCCUUAAAUGUUUAGAGGAGAUUCACAAAAAUUUUGUCAUAGCUUGCCCACUCUGUCGAAAAGAGUUCUCGUAUCAGGACAAUGUCACAUGCCUUCCCAACAACUCUUAUGUGCUGCACAUGCUAAGGUUAACAGAAAAAAAUGCAGAACCUGCAAGUAAACCUGAUCUAGAGGGGAAACCUACAUGGUGCCUCACAUGUGGUGCCGUGGCUAAACAAAGCUGUUCUGUUCAUUCCAUUAUUGAUGUUACAGCCAACACAAUCAAGAAUUUUGAAUCACUCUUGAAUCUCAGAGAUGAUCUCAAGAAAAUGAGGGAUCAAGGCCAAACAAAAUUAGCCUUGGCCAUUGAAAAGAGAAAAGAAAUUCAGACCCAUUUUCAGCAACUAUCUCAGUCAUUGAAAUUGGUUUUGCAUGAAGUCACUGUACAAGAAGAUCAAAAUAAUCUCCUUCUUGUUGAAAUGAUUUCUCAACUAGAGGCGAACAGUCCUCAAUUACGAUCUCGCCUUUCAUCCUCCGAAAUGAUAACAGGACAAGACGACCAAGAUCCUAUUUUAUCCGAAUUGAUGUCUGUAGUCGAUGGUUCCAAACCAGAAGAUAGUUUUGAAAUUCUCAAAGAAAAAAUGAAGAAAACUCUCCAGUCCUACGAGAGCAAGCUGGCCGAAGCAGUUGCCAUGGCCAAGUCUAUCACGUAUCAAAAGAAGAGCAUAAUAUCUGUUUGGCUUACUGACUCCAACAAUCAAGCCAUUCCCACAUGGGACUUGCUGGAAUCGGGGUUCAACACGUAUUGGCCAAAUGACACCUGUUUGUCGCCAACAAAACGCGAUUUUCUGCUUUUGUCUCACAUCGUGUUUUCUAUACAAAAGAGGGGACAGAAGAUAAACAAACAAUCAAAUUCAGAUUUCUCUGCUGUGUCCUCCAAGGCGAAACCUGUUGCGACCAAAUUAGGUGAACCUAGUUCCUUAGUGAAGACUGAAAGUUCCUUAGUGAAGACUGAAAAUACUAAUACAACGGUCAAGUUGGAUCCCUCAACCGAAAAAUUUGAUCUCAACAAGUCGACAUUGGUAGUGGUUGUCCGUCGACACGGCACUUUAAAGGGCGCUGUCCAUAUCAGGCUGUCCUCUAGCUGUGAUUCACCAUUCAUGCAGCAAUUGGGUAAAAUCUGCUUCCACUCGUCGAAACAAUUUAGCAAUGCCAUUGGAAAAACUGUUCCCGAUGUGUUUCUCUUGCUUCCGGCCUGUAAGGACCUGGCGGAUUUUUCCUACAACGGGUUGACUGGUCUUCCGCCUACACGCCACUACAUGGAAGCCGGAAUAUCUUUGUGUCCGGAUGAAAAGGGCGUUUUUAAUAGCUGGAAUUUAGUUUUUGCUCUUCGGCAUUUUGAGCAGAAAAAGAACGAGAUGCACUUGAAAACUAUCCAGCCCAUCCAUUUUAUUGGCCAAGUGACAGAGGGCAUAGAUGUUAUCGAAAUGCUCAGUUGGACGACCAAGCACCAGAGAAGUGGGUACACUUUCACUCUGGAAUCGCGUUAGUAAGCUUCCAGCACACGACUAGCGUUUAGGAGGAGCGAAUUUUAACAAAUGAAGUGAUUUUGCCAUUAUAAUUUUUGGAGGAAAUUAUGAGUAGACCUAGGCUGCAAUUCCCUGCAUCCAUCCACUGGGAAGGUCACGUUGAAUUUAAGCUAUAGCGUUUGGGCUUCUUUUUGAGGCGAUAAAGGAAUUGGCGGCCAGUAAACUGUUGACAGUGAUGAUUAAAAGGCCACAAAUUGCCAUACAGAAAUCCAAGGCAACUCUGUUACCUGAAAAAUCAAGGUGUUUUUAGUUUAAGAGCCCAAGUCCACAUUUGUGUUUUCCGAAAAAAUAUUAAGGAUUCAAUAUCGUACAUAAUUUCAAUCCAUAGACUAUCGUGGGAAUCAACUUGCAAUUGUGGAGUAAUCCUUGAUUGCUUCUAAGGCUCUUUGAGUAAGAAAUCAGUAGCGUGAUACCAAUCAACGAAGCCUUCACUGCCAUUCCAAUGAUGAUUCUCUUGGUUUUCAGCCUGUAAACAUAGUUUGUGUAAAACAACAUAGCACUUACAGGCUUUAAGAUGCUCACGUGAAACUCACUUUUUACUGAUGAGAAAAAGAGCAAAUACGACCAGGAAGAUUGCUCCCCAGAUCUCUACAGAAGCACCGCUUGAAGCCGUGAAGCCUAAGAUGACGAAAAGACCCAAGAAUAGGUUACUUAUUGCAAGAACAGUCUCCAUAUGAAGAAAACGAUCAGAUCUGUGCAGAAAUUGGUCAAUUCAUUCAUCGAACGGAAAUGGGUGUUCUGUAAGUGCCAUUCCCAAACUGAAAAACGAAUCUAUACUGUGUAUGGUAUGUAGACUAAUGAGCUCAUAGAUGAAAGGAAGUGAAUCAGCUAAAGUGAUAACGAGAAGGUCGUGAGUACUGUAAAGUCAGCAUGAUGUUAAAUCGCUGAUAAGGAGGAAAACAAAACCAGAAAGGUAAAAUAAUCAUGCGCGAAAAGUAAAGAAUUGGCGCCAACCGCUAGGUGGCUUCCGGGGUUCUCGCAACGUGUUCGAGCAAUUCAACUUGUGAAAUUUUGUAGUCCACAGACUCUACACGAGAACGUGUAAAGUCAAUCAUUAUUUGAUUUGUUUGAAAGGCACUGCAAGGUUUCGAUGUAUUCUUGACAAUGAAUAUAUAUUUAGUAAACAGAAGUCAAAUGCAAUAAUAAAGGCACAAACAAUUCAGGCAGUUUAAGAGAGACGUUUCAAUGGGUGUAGAACUACCACUAGAAGGGGUGGACGACCCACGACGUGAGUUUGUUUGAAAAGAUAAAUGUCUACGGACACUAGCUGCAUUGCUGCUGGUAGCUGACGAAACGGUGGCUGUAUCGUCAUCUGCCGAACAACUGUAGUUGAUGUUACAGUGCAUGGCAAAACCUUUCGUUAGAACGGCGUUCUUGCAACGCUAUUCGUUGAUUUUUAGUCCGUUUUUUUAGUUUGCAGUUUGUCACCGGAGUCUUGCUUACCGUGUAUUGCCAUAUGUUUUGCAGUUUACGUUUGCCGAGCAUUGUAAAGAGGCAAAGAAAAAAGUAUUUCAAACACACAGAUGCUAAGGA
RNAcentral lists this unclassified non-coding RNA (3625 nucleotides) under Daphnia magna. RNAcentral describes it as "uncharacterized LOC116927064, transcript variant X5". Lineage: Eukaryota; Metazoa; Arthropoda; Branchiopoda; Diplostraca; Daphniidae. The record is from RNAcentral.